GUAGCUUGUUCUCUAGAACUCCCUGCAGGAGGUGGCCACAAACCCAGUGUUGGGAGUGACGAUGCCCCGUUGCACCGCUGCACACAAAACUGCAUUGAUUUCAGAACUGUCUGGAGCAAUAUACACCUUCCCAGUGCAGGAGCUAGAGUGGAUGAGUCUGGGGCCAGAAGAGGAAGAUUUUCUGCAGUGACUCAAGGCAGAGCUGGCAUAUUAAGUACUGCUUAAUAUUGUUGUUCAUUUGUUUGCAAGGGCACAUGGAGGUUCUGAGGUCCUGCUGCCAUUAGGAGAGAAUGGAACAGAAACAGCAUCAAGAGUCCUUCAGAAGGAGUGGGAAGAACAAAUGUUGGUAGGAAAUUGUCAUGAGAACCCAGGAGCCUUUGGAAUAUUCUGGUUGGAAGGAGUACCAGUCUUCAGUCCAGCUCAUGUUGGUGAACUGACUUACACAAAGAGUGAUACAGAGAGAUUGCACUUCAGUUGCCACCAACUUAAAGUUUCUUCACAGAAUUUGUCAUCCAAGUUUGAAGAUACCAUGAGAGAACUCAGGAUGGCUAUCGUGCAUGUGAACUCCGCCCGAAUAGACCUAUCCCUUGCGAGCAGCCUGACUUCCUGGUUGAACUCCGCCAUGGAUCAUUUGAAAGAGUGGGCGGGCAUGGGAGCGUUAGCAGGCCUCUUGCUUAUGGUCUCCCUGGUCUGCCUGUGGUGUAUAUGCAGGAUUAGGACUACGCAAAAGUGCGAUGCAGCUAUGAUUACUCAAGCCUUUACUGCCAUAGAGGCAGGGCAGUCCCCCCAGGCCUGGUAGGCCACUAUUAAGAACUAAAAUGUUCUCUUAAGUGGGGUGCGAGGCUAAGCACUGCACGAGGGUUUGCUUGUAUGCGGCUAGGCUGCCCUCGGAAGACAAGCCUGAUUGCAUGAAGGUUGUACCCAAGAUCCUUCCCCUGGGAAAAUAGGUACGGGAUGGGUUUGGGUCACCGCAGGCGUAGAGUUUGUGGGUGUCACCAAUACAUUAUCCCAUGUUUGCAAACCGGGGAUCGGGCCUCUAUCUUCACCCGCUCUGUUUUUUAAUAAAGAAGGGGGAACUGUGGAGAGCUGCGAUGGGCCGUGCCUUAAAGAUGGCGCCGGUUUCCGCCUUCCACCAUCCCGAGGGUGAGCGCUCUCUGGAAUAAACAACUCCUUAUUUGGCUUGGUCUAAGAUUCAAACUUGCAUCAGCAAAUGCGAGCCUAUCCGCCUUAGCCACGUGGCUUUCUGGGGCUGGCUGGCAAGAGUGCUUUUAAGCUGUGGGGGGGCUUUCCCCGGGGUCAGAAGAUUGUUCAAUGUUCCUGAGUAAACUGCUUAAGGAAGAGUCUCAGCGUUGCGUCUUCCUUGCUGGUCGAGGCGGUCAAGACACAUUGUCUUAUGAGGUGGUCAAGACACAUUGUCUUAUGAUUCUCCGGUGCAACAUGUGAUCCAAAGGCCAUACAGUUAUGGUG
Molecule: long non-coding RNA, 1467 nt
Filed under: Cricetulus griseus (Chinese hamster)
Lineage: Eukaryota; Metazoa; Chordata; Mammalia; Rodentia; Cricetidae
Description: lncRNA (ENSCGRG00000025789.1)
Source: RNAcentral